This 663-nucleotide ribosomal RNA is filed under the name Lutibacter sp. RNAcentral describes it as "bacterial SSU rRNA". It matches the Rfam family "Bacterial small subunit ribosomal RNA", at positions 28 to 682 of the family's 1533-position model. The record is from RNAcentral. Lineage: Bacteria; Pseudomonadati; Bacteroidota; Flavobacteriia; Flavobacteriales; Flavobacteriaceae.
GAUGAACGCUAGCGGCAGGCUUAACACAUGCAAGUCGAGGGGUAACAGGGAAGAGCUUGCUUUUCCGCUGACGACCGGCGCACGGGUGAGUAACGCGUAUAGAACCUACCUUUUACAGGGGAAUAGCCCAGAGAAAUUUGGAUUAAUGCCCUAUAGUAUUAUUGAAUGGCAUCAUUUAGUAAUUAAACAUUUAUGGGUAAAAGAUGGCUAUGCGUUCUAUUAGCUAGAUGGUAAGGUAACGGCUUACCAUGGCAACGAUAGAUAGGGGUCCUGAGAGGGAGACCCCCCACACUGGUACUGAGACACGGACCAGACUCCUACGGGAGGCAGCAGUGAGGAAUAUUGGACAAUGGAGGCAACUCUGAUCCAGCCAUGCCGCGUGCAGGAAGACGGCCCUAUGGGUUGUAAACUGCUUUUAUACGGGAAGAAACCCAACUACGUGUAGUUGGCUGACGGUACCGUAAGAAUAAGCACCGGCUAACUCCGUGCCAGCAGCCGCGGUAAUACGGAGGGUGCAAGCGUUAUCCGGAAUCAUUGGGUUUAAAGGGUCCGUAGGCGGGCUAAUAAGUCAGGGGUGAAAUCCAACAGCUUAACUGUUGAACUGCCUUUGAUACUGUUAGUCUUGAAUUAUAUGGAAGUAGAUAGAAUGUGUAGUGUAGCGGU